Molecule: ribosomal RNA, 461 nt
Filed under: uncultured bacterium
Lineage: Bacteria
Description: SSU rRNA
Rfam family: Bacterial small subunit ribosomal RNA
Source: RNAcentral
AGAAUCAACGCUGGCGGCGUGCCUAACACAUGCAAGUCGAACGAGAAAGGGGAGCAAUCCCUGAGUAAAGUGGCGACCGGGUGAGUAACACGUGACUAACCUACCUUCGAGUGGGGGAUAACCUCGGGAAACCGAGGCUAAUACCGCAUAACAUCGUGAGAUCAAAGCAGUAAUGCGCUGGAAGAGGGGGUCGCGGCUGAUUAGCUAGUUGGCGGGGUAAUGGCCCACCAAGGCGAAGAUCGGUAGCCGGCCUGAGAGGGCGCACGGCCACACUGGAACUGAAACACGGUCCAGACUCCUACGGGAGGCAGCAGUGGGGAAUUUUGCGCAAUGGGGGAAACCCUGACGCAGCAACGCCGCGUGGAGGAUGAAGUCCCUUGGGACGUAAACUCCUUUCGACCAAGACGAUAAUGACGGUACUGGUGGAAGAAGCACCGGCUAACUCUAGCGCCAGCAGCCGC